RNAcentral lists this transfer RNA (71 nucleotides) under Bombus lucorum (white-tailed bumblebee). Its description in RNAcentral is "tRNA-Leu". The record is from RNAcentral. Lineage: Eukaryota; Metazoa; Arthropoda; Insecta; Hymenoptera; Apidae. RNAcentral also lists the same sequence under 1 other name.
AUUAAUAUGGCAGAUUAGUGCUUUGAAUUUAAAAUUCAAUAAUAAAGAUAUCUAUUUUUCUUUUAUUAAUA